AGUGAACGCUGGCGGUAGGCCUAACACAUGCAAGUCGAACGGCAGCACAGUAAGAGCUUGCUCUUACGGGUGGCGAGUGGCGGACGGGUGAGGAAUACAUCGUAAUCUACUUUUUCGUGGGGGAUAACGUAGGGAAACUUACGCUAAUACCGCAUACGACCUACGGGUGAAAGCAGGGGAUCUUCGGACCUUGCGCGAUUGAAUGAGCCGAUGUCGGAUUAGCUAGUUGGCGGGGUAAAGGCCCACCAAGGCGGCGAUCCGUAGCUGGUCUGAGAGGAUGGUAGGCCACACUGGAAGUGAGACGCGGACCAUGCUCCUACGGUAGGCAGCAGUGGGGAAUAUUGGACAAUGGGCGGAAACCUGAUCCAGUCAUCCCGCGUGGGUGACGAAGGCCUCCGGGUUGUAAAGACGUUUUGUUGGGAAAGAACCGCAGUAGCCUAAGACCAAGCUUUUGUGACGGUACUGAAUGAAUAAGCACCGGCUAACUUCGUG
RNAcentral lists this ribosomal RNA (492 nucleotides) under uncultured bacterium. RNAcentral's name for it is "partial 16S ribosomal RNA". It matches the Rfam family "Bacterial small subunit ribosomal RNA", at positions 29 to 507 of the family's 1533-position model. The record is from RNAcentral.